Protopterus annectens (West African lungfish) is the source of this 654-nucleotide long non-coding RNA. RefSeq lists it as uncharacterized. NCBI's taxonomy places the organism in Eukaryota, Metazoa, Chordata, Ceratodontiformes, Protopteridae. The record is from RefSeq and is a predicted model, not a curated record. The transcript has 2 exons.
UUUCUUGCUUAUACUUGUGGACUUGUAAGAGGAGCCUUGUCAAAUCUGGGGAUCUGCAGUACAGUAACAGCAGAAGUCACAGCAGUGCCAUCUUGUAAAUUUCAAGUUGUUAUCCAAAGACCCUAGAAGAAAGUUCUGCCAAGCAAUGGAGUUGUAGCAUGUUGUAUGGACAUUUUAAUGACUGGAAGGACAUUAAAAAAACAUGAAGCAUUGUUGACUAAAGGAGUAUCUGCUUUAUUUUGCUUUGGGAGACGACAGCUUUUGGCUUUCUUUUUACUUCAGAAGAUAAGUGCAUUAUUGAAAGAGUACUACUGCAUUUAAAGAGUCUCAGGCACAGCUGAGAUUCUGUUUUGACCUUAAUAAUAUGAUUAGCAAUAAUAUUAUGAUAAUUGCAUAGUUAUUUAAAGAAUAUUUUUGUAUGUGUACAUAUUGUUUUUGUAGAGUUAAUAUCUGGUGCUUGUUUUCUAUGUACUUUUGAUGCUUAUGUUGUGUCUUUUGUGCAUACUUCUUAAAAUGUCACUGAUUUUGACUCAAAAUUUUUGUUUUCUCUCUCACUUUCUCUAAAUUUGUGGUUCUUUACCAAAAUGUGGUGGAUUGCAGUCAACAAAUAAUGAUGCUUAUUAAAGCUACAGACUUCAUUUACCUCAGAAAGUA